This 497-nucleotide ribosomal RNA is filed under the name uncultured bacterium. RNAcentral describes it as "partial 16S ribosomal RNA". It matches the Rfam family "Bacterial small subunit ribosomal RNA", at positions 28 to 507 of the family's 1533-position model. The record is from RNAcentral.
GAUGAACGCUGGCGGCGUGCCUAAUACAUGCAAGUCGAGCGAACAGACGAGGAGCUUGCUCCUCUGACGUUAGCGGCGGGCGGGUGAGUAACACGUGGAUAACCUACCUAUAAGACUGGGAUAACUUCGGGAAACCGGAGCUAAUACCGGAUAAUAUAUUGAACCGCAUGGUUCAAUAGUGAAAGACGGUUUUGCUGUCACUUAUAGAUGGAUCCGCGCCGCAUUAGCUAGUUGGUAAGGUAACGGCUUACCAAGGCAACGAUGCGUAGCCGACCUGAGAGGGUGAUCGGCCACACUGGAACUGAGACACGGUCCAGACUCCUACGGGAGGCAGCAGUAGGGAAUCUUCCGCAAUGGGCGAAAGCCUGACGGAGCAACGCCGCGUGAGUGAUGAAGGUCUUCGGAUCGUAAAACUCUGUUAUUAGGGAAGAACAAAUGUGCAAGUAACUAUGCACGUCUUGACGGUACCUAAUCAGAAAGCCACGGCUAACUACGUG